Molecule: long non-coding RNA, 363 nt
Filed under: Phoenix dactylifera (date palm)
Lineage: Eukaryota; Viridiplantae; Streptophyta; Magnoliopsida; Arecales; Arecaceae
Description: long non-coding RNA (PDAC_LNC007911)
Source: RNAcentral
UCCGCCGCAAUUCCCGCGGCGGAGAGCCAUUACAAUGAGGCUAUAAAACCCCCGUUCCUCCUCCUUCGGAGAUCACCAGAGCCCUCCUCCCUCUCCUCCCUCUCCUCCCUCUUCUUCCUUUGUUCUUGCCUCCCGAGUGACCGGCAUCCUCUUUCCGACCGAGUGCUGUCCGGAUCCCCCUCACGGCCAUCCCCUGUUUCGAGAUCCAUUCUCUCGAUUUCGAACGCCGUCGUCGCUUGACCAUCGGAUCGAACAGCCGCGGCCGAGAUCUUCCUUCCGCCGCCUCCGUCGACCGCCAGUAAGCCUUCUCUUGCCCUGUAUUUCAUGUUUUUUUUUCUGUUCAAGCCCCAAACCGAGGUCAUC